RNAcentral lists this ribosomal RNA (472 nucleotides) under uncultured bacterium. Its description in RNAcentral is "bacterial SSU rRNA". It matches the Rfam family "Bacterial small subunit ribosomal RNA", at positions 328 to 793 of the family's 1533-position model. The record is from RNAcentral.
CGCUAUCACUCCUACGGGAGGCAGCAGUGGGGAAUAUUGCACAAUGGGGGAAACCCUGAUGCAGCCAUGCCGCGUGUGUGAAGAAGGCCUUCGGGUUGUAAAGCACUUUCAGUAGGGAGGAAGGUAGUGUAGUUAACACCUGCAUUAUUUGACGUUACCUACAGAAGAAGCACCGGCUAACUCCGUGCCAGCAGCCGCGGUAAUACGGAGGGUGCGAGCGUUAAUCGGAAUUACUGGGCGUAAAGCGCAUGCAGGCGGCCUGUUAAGUCAGAUGUGAAAGCCCGGGGCUUAACCUCGGAAUUGCAUUUGAAACUGGCAGGCUAGAGUCUUGUAGAGGGGGUAGAAUUUCAGGUGUAGCGGUGAAAUGCGUAGAGAUCUGAAGGAAUACCAGUGGCGAAGGCGGCCCCCUGGACAAAGACUGACGCUCGGAUGCGAAAGCGUGGGGAGCAAACAGGAUUAGAUACCCUGGUAG